Molecule: ribosomal RNA, 395 nt
Filed under: uncultured bacterium
Lineage: Bacteria
Description: partial 16S ribosomal RNA
Rfam family: Bacterial small subunit ribosomal RNA
Source: RNAcentral
CCUACGGGCGGCAGCAGUGAGGAAUAUUGGUCAAUGGCCGAAAGGCUGAACCAGCCAAGUCGCGUGAAGGAAGACGGAUCUAUGGUUUGUAAACUUCUUUUAUAGGGGAAUAAAGGUAUCCACGUGUGGAUAUUUGCAUGUACCCUAUGAAUAAGCAUCGGCUAACUCCGUGCCAGCAGCCGCGGUAAUACGGAGGAUGCGAGCGUUAUCCGGAUUUAUUGGGUUUAAAGGGUGCGUAGGUUGUUUUUUAAGUCAGCGGUGAAAGUUUGCGGCUCAACCACAAGACUGCCGUUGAAACUGGAAGACUUGAGUGGGUGUGAGGUAGGCGGAAUGCGUGGUGUAGCGGUGAAAUGCAUAGAUAUCACGCAGAACUCCGAUUGCGAAGGCAGCUUACU